Molecule: RNA transcript, 1144 nt
Organism: Nannospalax galili (Upper Galilee mountains blind mole rat)
Lineage: Eukaryota; Metazoa; Chordata; Mammalia; Rodentia; Spalacidae
Gene name: non-histone chromosomal protein HMG-17 pseudogene
Exons: 1
Source: RefSeq, a predicted model, not a curated record
GUGUGAAGAAGCACCGAGAACGACCCCCGGACCGACCAAAGCCGCGCACCGCUGCAGCCCGGCGUCCAGCGCCUGCGUCCCCGCCGUCGUCGCCAUGCCCAAAAGAAAGGCUGAAGGGGACGCCAAAGGAGAUAAAGCCAAGGUGAAGGACGAGCCACAGAGAAGAUCUGCAAGAUUAACCGCUAAACCUGCUCCUCCAAAGCCAGAGCCCAAGCCUAAGAAGGCACCUGCAAAGAAGGGAGAGAAAGUGCCCAAAGGGAAAAAGGGAAAAGCUGAUGCUGGCAAGGAUGGGAAUAAUCCUGCAGAAAACAGAGAUGCCAAAACAGACCAGGCACAGAAAGCCGAAGGUGCUGCAGACGCCGAGUGAAGCUGUGCGUUUUUGAUGACUGUGUACUUCUGGUGACUGUACAGUUUGAAAUACUAUUUUUUAUCAAGUUUUAUAAAAAUGCAGAAUUUUGUUUUACUUUUUCUUUUUAAAGCUAUGUUGUUAGCACACAGAACACUUCAUUGUUUGAGGGGGGAGGAACAUGUGUCACUAACAAAAUGUCUCCCAAGCUGGAUUGAUGUGGGGGAAUCACCUUUCCCUGCUAGUUUUUGAAGGACUCCUCUUGGCUCCCGGGAGGGUAUUUCCUAAUGCUGGUACCAUGUGGCCACCUUGGCACAUAAUGCCUUGUGGCAUGAGAAAAUUCAAAAUUGGUUUUUAUAUCCUCCUCUACCUCCACCUUCAAAUCAACAUAGACUUAACUCCCUUAAAAUGGGAGACUUGUUGGGACCAGCCCCCCUAAAUUGGUUUUGCCAGUACAUUGGGCAAUCUGGACUUCGCAGGGAUAUUAUUGGGAUGGUUCCUCAGAAGAGCAGUGGUUCCUUUUCUAAAAGAUUGUGGAUCUUCAGAUUGAUAAUUCUGCCAUGUUCAUUUCAUUUCCUGAAAGUCAGGGUCGGCUUGUGAAAAGUUGUUAAACAACAUGCUUAAUGUGAAAUGUCAGCCCUCACUCUAAACUUCCCCCAAUCAGAGCAUCAAAUAAAGACUUCACUGGAUUUUAUAGUGGCUUUCUGAUUUUGGUAGUCCAUACAAGAAGGGAGUUUGAAAGUUCUUGUAUACUGUUAAUGAUUGUCUGCCCAUGUCCUGCCUGAAAUACCAUGACUG